Triticum aestivum (bread wheat) is the source of this 136-nucleotide non-coding RNA. The record is from Rfam. Lineage: Eukaryota; Viridiplantae; Streptophyta; Magnoliopsida; Poales; Poaceae.
GAUGUACUCCCUCCGUCCGGAAAUACUUGUCAUCAAAAUGGAUAAAACGGGAUGCAUCUAGACAUAUUUUAGUUCUAGAUACAUAUUUUUUUUAUCUAUUUUGAUGACAAGUAUUUUCGGACGGAAGGAGUAUCUA